UGAGGUUAUUUUCUAUUCUAGAUUAGUUAUUUGUUUAUAUUAAAACCCUGCAUUGCGUGUGACUUGUUCUGCGAAUGUUCUGCAGGACAAGCGAGCAUUCCUGAUAAAUUCUACCUUGGUAACCAAGCAACGUUGUGUAUUCCAAGUCGUGCGCAACGCUGACCGUCACAUGAUCACAACCGAGCCAGUGGCCCCCAGCCCACUGUGGGACUGUGGGUGAUCCUCUCCCAACUGUGAGAGGUGAUGUAGGAGAUCUCUGCAGAGAAAGAGAAAAAGGAGGAGCCCCUCAUUUCAACUGAGAUUAGGGAGAUGUUCCCUCUGGCCAGACCGUCAUCUCCAUGGGGAGCCCUGGGUGAUCAUGGCUAUGGAGGAACAAGAAAACAGCCUGUUGCUAAACACAGGUGCAAGUCUCUCCGUCCUUCUUUUCAAUCCUGGCCUUCCUUCCAGCCGUCACACCUCAGUGACAGGAGUCACCAGUGAGGAGGGGGGAAGAAGCCGAGUGGUGUGUGGCUGUUGGAACAGGAACUUGGAGGCAGAAGGAGGCGAAUCAUCUGUUCUCACAGAUGCUUGAAUCUGCUACAAGAUCACCGUGGGGUUCUGGGCUGCAACUCCCAGGGAGCCCCUGACCCCAGCUCUGACACUAAUGAUGCCUUUUAUUAUUUGCUGACCUAUGUCUAAAAUCUAUAAUUAUCAUUCUGCAUUGAUUAUUGGUAGGGAGAGAGCAUGUUAUAAUUUUUUCAAAUUAUAUAAAUUAUCUUUGAGACUCCUUUUUGGAAAAUUUUCUAUGACUAUAUCUGCCUUUGUUUCUGCUUGUAUAGAAAUUAAAUUUUUGCCUUUUCCUGCAAAAUUAUCUUUUAUAGCCUGCUGGAUGAUGAUAAUA
Molecule: long non-coding RNA, 880 nt
Filed under: Chinchilla lanigera (long-tailed chinchilla)
Lineage: Eukaryota; Metazoa; Chordata; Mammalia; Rodentia; Chinchillidae
Description: lncRNA (ENSCLAG00000023003.1)
Source: RNAcentral